Molecule: ribosomal RNA, 468 nt
Filed under: uncultured bacterium
Lineage: Bacteria
Description: partial 16S ribosomal RNA
Rfam family: Bacterial small subunit ribosomal RNA
Source: RNAcentral
GACGAACGCUGGCGGCGUGCUUAACACAUGCAAGUCGAACGGAAAGGCCCUGCUUUUGUGGGGUGCUCGAGUGGCGAACGGGUGAGUAACACGUGAGUAACCUGCCCUUGACUUUGGGAUAACUUCAGGAAACUGGGGCUAAUACCGGAUAGGAGCUCCUGCUGCAUGGUGGGGGUUGGAAAGUUUCGGCGGUUGGGGAUGGACUCGCGGCUUAUCAGCUUGUUGGUUGGGUAGUGGCUUACCAAGGCUUUGACGGGUAGCCGGCCUGCGAGGGUGACCGGCCACAUUGGGACUGAGAUACGGCCCAGACUCCUACGGGAGGCAGCAGUGGGGAAUAGUGCACAAUGGGCGGAAGCCUGAUGCAGCAACGCCGCGUGCGGGAUGACGGCCUUCGGGUUGUAAACCGCUUUCGCCUGUGACGAAGCGUGAGUGACGGUAAUGGGUAAAGAAGCACCGGCUAACUACGUG